This 222-nucleotide unclassified non-coding RNA is filed under the name fungal sp. RNAcentral's name for it is "partial internal transcribed spacer region". The stretch from base 1 to 46 matches the Rfam family "Eukaryotic small subunit ribosomal RNA", at positions 1786 to 1831 of the family's 1831-position model. Lineage: Eukaryota; Fungi. The record is from RNAcentral.
AAGUCGUAACAAGGUUUCCGUAGGUGAACCUGCGGAAGGAUCAUUAUUGUAGGGACUCCGGUCCCCUCAAGAUGCAACCCGUGCCUUUUUUGUAGCCCGUAACGUUUCCUCGGCAGCCCCGCUGCCAGCGAGGACCCCCCCAAACCAAACCUGCAAUCUCAGUAAAAAAAUUCAGAAACCCCCCAAAAUUUAAAACUUUCAACAAUGGAUCUCUUGGCUCUG